UGUCGGCUCCAUUGGUGACCCAGAUGGCACCGCGCUCACAUCUCUCUUGCAUCCGUUUUAGAGAUCGAAUUUGCCUGUGUGUCGCCCAGUGAAUUUUCAUCCAUCUCUUCUCUGUGUAUUUUUAAAAAUAUAAACCCCAAUCUAUACUAGUGACAGUGUGUCCAGAGGCGAUUCAACACAUUUCAAUUAGACAUUUGUGUGUGUGUGUUUGACUUUUCUGUCGGAAAAAAACAAUCAUCGGAACCCCCCCCCCCCCCCCCCCUACGAUUCCGGCGGACUACAAAGUUUAUUUUUAGUCCAGCGCGUCUUGUGACAUUGUGUGUCUGUUACAUAUUGCCAAUCUCAAACUGAUUCUAUUUGAAUGGCACCAAGUGAUCCGUUUCAUCCGCUCAUUCUCUGGUUGGUUUGAUUCGACAACAUUUGAUUGAGAUUUAAUUAUUAGUGAACAAACAGCAAUCCAGCUUUGUUCAGUGGCUGUUGUUGUUAUCGUUUGGUCUGUCGCCAGAUGAUCAGAUUGGUUCAAGCCGGCUGGUCGAUCCUGGCCGGCCUGUUGCUGCUCCAGUCGCUCGACUGUUUAGCGGCCGCCCGCCAAGAUGAGCAGCCGGCCACGUCCGGCUCGUCGUCGUCUUUGGCGGCCUUCAAGAGCGCGUCCAUCGAGUACGAGCACUUUUUCAAUCACGGCACGACGGCCAAUCCCAAGAGCGGCCACCACAAGUUCAACAAGGAUCAACUGGGCGGCGGCAAACUGGAAAACGAAGUCCUCAAGUCCAAAGUGGAGGUCCUGGGCGAGGUGUUGAAGCAGCGCGUCCAGGCCCUGCGUCACGUGCCUGGGCAGAAAGUCGAAUUGGUUUUCCUGGUCGACUCGUCCGCCUCGGUCGGAGCCGAGAAUUUCUUCAACGAAUUGAAAUUCGUCAAGAAACUCCUGGCCGAUUUCACCGUGUCGGCCGACGCGGCCCGCGUGGCCGUCGUCACCUUCUCCUCCAAGAACCGCGUCGUCCGUCACAUCGAUCACGUCAGUCGGCUGGGACUGACCGGCCACCGGGAGCUCUCGGCGGACGGCGGUGGCGAUCCUAGGCACAAGUGCCGUCUGCUGGAACAGGAGCUGCCGGCCAUCGGCUACACGGGCGGAGGAACCUACACGUUGGGAGCUCUGCUGGAGGCCCAGUCGGUGCUGGAAGAGGCCCGGUCCGAGGCGGUCAAGGCCGUUUUCCUCAUCACCGACGGCUACUCGAACGGCGGCGAUCCUCGGCCGGCCGCCAAGCGGCUGCGUGAGCAAGGCGUCCGCAUUUUCACCUUCGGCAUCCGCAACGGCAACGUCAAGGAGCUGUACGACAUGGCCUCGGAGCCGGCCCAGGAGCACUCGUACAUUGUUGACAGUUUUGAGGAGUUUGAAGCGCUGGCCAGACGGGCCUUGCACGAGGAUUUGCAGACGGGCUCCUACCUGCCGCAGCGCAACCGAUCGGCCUGCGACCGGCUGUGCAGGGACCAAUCGGAAUGUUGCCAUCCGUCGGCCGAGUGCACCUGCGGCACCCACACCGGACACUACGCCUGCCUCUGCCCGCCCGGACACUACGGAACCGGAUUAAAAGACGAUUGUCACCCGUGUCCAGGUGGUACGUACCGAAGUGACGGCGGUCCAGGUGACUUGCGCUCCUGCCGCCAAUGUCCGGAUGAGAAUCACAUCUCGCCGCCGGGCAGCACGUCGGAAUCCCAGUGCCAAUGCCCGCGCGGCUACGUGCCGUCAGAGGAGGACGGCGGCCGGACGUGCCAACUGCUGGCCUGCCCCAAGCUGGACCCGCCGGCCAACGGCUACUUUGUCAAGCAGUCGUGCAACAGCGUCUUCAACGGAGCCUGCGGCAUCCGCUGCAACGGCGGCUACAAGCUGAUCGGAUCCAGCAUCCGCCUCUGCCAGGAGAACGGCACCUGGUCCGGCGAGGAGGCCGCCUGCCAGAUGCGCAGCUGCGGCUCGGUCCCGCCACCCAAGAACGGCAGGAUUGAGUGCACCUCCGACAGUUACGUCAUCGACAGCGAGUGCACCUUCAGCUGCGACGUCGGUUUCACCCUGGUCGGAUCACGCAAAAGAGUUUGCCUGCCCAUCGGCUACUGGGACGGCCUUCCGGCCUUUUGCAAACCGGUCUUUUGCAAUCCGCUACCCAAGGUGAUGAACGGGACGUGGGGGCCGUCCAAGUGCCCGCAAGCCAAGAUCCGUUACGGCGAGCACUGCAAUGCCACCUGCGCCACUGGGUUCGAGCUGCGCGGGCCGGCAGUCCGUCGCUGCUCCGAACUGGGGGCCUGGACCGAAGAAGAAGUUAAAACUCGAUGCGUCGAUGUGACCCCGCCGGAAAUCACCUGUCCGGCUGACGUGACGCUGGAUGCGGAAGCGGGUGAAAAUUUCGCCAGUUACUCCUGGGAUCAUCCGGUGGUGUCGGACAAUUCCGGCGCAGUGCCGGACGUCAUCAGCGUGCCGGCCGUGACGGAACAGCCGAUGCGCUUCCGGAUCGGCAACGCCACGGUGGCCUACAAAGCGCUGGAUCGGCGAGGCAACCAGGCCGAGUGCAGUUUCCAGGUGACGGUGCUGGACGGGCAGCCGCCGACGGUCGACCAAUGCGAGUCGCCGCCCACUUUUCUGCUCCGCGACCGGAACGCCAGCGUCGUCUGGGACGAGCCGGUGUUCAGCGACAAUUCCGGACGGCCGACGACGGUCGAGCGCUCCCACGAUCCGGGCCGUUUCCCACUGGGCGAGACGGAAGUCGUUUACACGGCCACCGACGAGUCCGGCAACAGUAAGACGUGCACGAUCGUCAUCCGCGUCCAGGAGCACGCCUGCCAUCUGCCCAUCGAUCCGAUCCACGGCCAGGCCAACUGCUCCCAGCAGCCGGACGCCGUUUACUGUUCGCUGACGUGUCACGACGGUUACGCCUUCGCCAUGCCACCACCUCGUAAUUAUUUUUGCGCCUACGACGGCCAGUGGCUGCCGGCCGACAGUCCGCUGCCUUUUCCCGACUGUUCCGUCACCACUCACUCGGAUGCGCUCAUCCAGGACGGCCUGUUGCGUCUCACUAAUGUUGGCCAAGGCUCGGAAGAGGAGAAAAUCUGCCAGGAUCCGUUCCUGAUGAGCCAAAUGGAGGGCCAUUUUAAGCGACGGCUGGCCGCCCGGCUGAACGAAAUCUGCGGCGACAACAUGAUCUGCCAGGUGGACGACCUCCAGGCCGAGUGCCGACAGGUGGUGGCCGAAUCGGACGAUGACCCGUCGAUGCUGGACGAGGACGGCCAGAAUUCGGUAGACUGGGAAGAGACCAACGAAAUAACCCGAUCCAGACGGAGCGUCACAGCUGGAAGGUAUCAACGUCAUUCAGUUGAUUGGUCUAAAAUAAUCCGGCGGAUGAAACGGAAUGCCAACAGCAACUCGACAAAAAGCAACGCGGAUAAAAGCAAAAAGAACAGCGGCAUGACGUUGGAGUUGCGCUUCAAAGUUUUAAGUCGAUUUCCUAAGAAAUCAAACGGGACGGAUGAGAUUUCGACGACGACGACAUCGAGGACGACGUCGCCGACGUUCAGUCGAUUGACGCCGGAGGUGAUGCUGAACGAAUUGAAUCAACUGCGGGCGUUGCUGACCGAAUCGGCUCUGUCGGGAGAGUUCAACGUCAAUUACACGGCCGGUCAACUGUUGAACGUCUUCGACGUCCAAUUCCAGGGCGACGUCGAGCGUCCAAAGUUCAGCUGCCCGGCGGGCAGCGUGCCCAUCAAGGCCAACGACAAUAAUAAUAAUAAUAAUGCGACGACUAGCAAUCACGAUUUCGCCCGCUGCGUCUACUGCCCGAUCGGCACCUUCUUCAACGUCGUCAACGAAGUCUGCGAGUCCUGCUCGCAAGGAUCCUACCAGCCGGAAGAGGGCCAGCUCUCCUGUUUGGUCUGCCCGCACAACACGUCCACCAAAGUCGUCAACGCCAAACGUUCCGACGAUUGCCAAGCUCAAUGCCUGGCUGGAAGUUACUCUCCAACCGGACUGGAACCGUGCAGCACUUGCCCGCAAGGGACGUACCAGACCGAGUACUCGCAGCGAAACUGCCUUCCUUGCCCGUCGGGUUCGACCACAUGGCGCCGAGGCGCCCGUCGUCUGGACGACUGCAAGUCCGUCUGUCCGCGAGGACUCGUUUCCGAGACUGGAUUGGCCCCCUGUUUCUCCUGCCCGGUCGGAUUCUACCAGCCGCUCAACGGUCAGAGAUUCUGCAUCCGCUGCCCGCGACGGUCGCCUUACACAGCCGGAAUUGGAGCCGUCAACCGGAUGGAAUGUCUGAGAACUCGACCUGUAACAGACGACAAUUACGUCAACGGAACGGACGAGUUUCCCGAGCCGGAAGCGACGGAAGAAUUCGAAGAAAUGACUUUGCUGGAAGUCAACGAAUGUUUUUCUCUGCCCUGUCAGAAUGGCGGCCAAUGCCGGACGCUGGACUUUGGAUACGUCUGCGAUUGCCCGGCCGGCUACACGGGUAUGCAGUGCCAGACGGACGUUGACGAUUGCGCCUCUCUGCCGUGUCUGAACGGCGCCACAUGCGUCGACGCCGUCAACAGUUACCAGUGCCUCUGCCCAGCCGGUUUCAGCGGCGCCCAGUGCCAGACGGACAUUGACGAGUGCCUGAGCGGGCCCUGUCACCCAGGCGCCACUUGCCUGGAUAAAAUCUUGGGCUACGUUUGCGUCUGCCCGCCCGGCAUGGCCGGCUCUCGCUGCGAACUCGAAGUCGACGAGUGUCUGAGUGGUCCGUGCCAAAACGGCGGCACCUGCUACGAUCGUGUGGCCAAUUACACGUGCGUCUGCCAGCCGGGCUGGGCCGGCAAACUCUGCGAGCAGGCCGUCGACGAGUGCCAGAGUCAGCCGUGCCUCAAUGGCGCCACUUGCGAAGAUUUGAUCGGCAAUUUCAUUUGCCACUGUCCGCUGGGCUACGACGGCCCACUUUGCCAGAACGACGUUGACGAAUGCCUGCCGGAACCCUGCGCGGCCGGAAGCACCUGCGUCAACCGACUGGGAUCCUUCGCUUGUUUGUGCCCGCCUGGAGUGGUCGGAUCGACUUGCGACACGGCCGUCAAUUCCGAUUUCAGUUUAGAAUUCACCAGCGCCGGCAAACUGGAUUACGCCGUCUGGGAGGGCGGACUGCGGACGGACGCCAGGCCGCUCAGACAGAUGACCAUGUGCGCCUGGAUCAAGACGACGGACCAGCAGAACUACGGCACCGUCUUCUCUUACGCCACCGACGACGAAGCCAAUUCGUUGACCCUGACGGACUAUUCCGGCUUCGUUCUCUACGUCAACGGCGCCAAAGUGGUGACGGACGUGACGGCCAACGACGGGCGUUGGCACCUGAUUUGCGCCACGUGGAAUUCACCGGACGGACAGUGGCGCAUCUACUCGGACGGAGAGCUCAAAGACAAGGGAUUCGGAUUGGCCAGCAAUUCGUCGAUCCAUCCCAACGGGACCGUCAUCCUCGGGCAGGAGCAGGACGUCCGCGCCGGAGGGUUCAGCAAUGCCGAAUCCUUCGUCGGCCAGCUGUACGGAGUCGAAUUGUGGGAUUCCGUCCUGGACGACCAACAAAUCGCCGGCCUGACCCUCUCCUGCCACCAGCCGGACAGCGAGUCCAGCAGCCAAUACCGUGGCAACCUCAUCACCUGGGCCGAUUUCAAGCACGGACUGCGCGGCGGAAUUCGAGUGGAGGAGUCGAUUUUUUGCCGCGGAUGCUCCGAUCCAAUUCCGCCGCAACACGGCGGAGUCAAAGUCGAAGGCAACGAGGCCGUCUACGAAUGCGAGCAGGGCUACCUCCUCUCGACUCCGUCGCCUCGUCGACCUUGUCUCGUCUACGGCGGAUGGUCCGGUCCCGAUCCGGAAUGCCAACGGGUCAGUUGCGGAUUUCCCGGAUACAUUCUCAACGGAUUGGUGAACGGAACCAAUUUCGUUUACGGUAACACCGUCUCCUACAAUUGCACGAGAGGCUUCCGCCUGUCCGGCGACGGAUUACGCACUUGCGAGGAAAACGGCCAAUGGAGCGGCUAUCCGCCCGAAUGCGUUCCGGUCACUUGUGAGCCACCCAUUCCGCCCGUCAACGGCUCCCAGAUUGAGCCGCCGGUGUCGCAAGAAUUCUACGCUGUCGGUGACCGGAUUACUUUUCAGUGUUCGACCGGCUUCCGGCUGGACGGACCGUAUUCCUUGACCUGCCAAGACGAAGGGCAAUGGGACGACGUUCUUCCGGUUUGUCAGCCUCUGGCUUGCACCCGCCCACCUUACGUCGAGCACGGCAUCGUCACCAACGGAGUGGCUGAAAUCCUUCCGGAAGAUCUGCCCCACUUUCUUGUGCCCGGCUCCAUCUUGACGUUCACUUGUCUGUUUGGUUACCAGCUGGAAUCAUCGGCCGAGGUCCAGUGCAGUCACGAAGGAUUCUGGAUCGGCCAGAUUCCGAAAUGCGUGCCCAUCCAAUGCGGAACGCCUCCGGAAAUUUAUCACGCCACCGUCCAGCUCUCUCGCCCGGAUAACGACCGAGUCGGAUCGGUGGCCUCUUACGUCUGCCAGUCGGGAUUCGAGCAUUUCGGUCCGGCCGAGCUUGAAUGCACCGAGAGUGGCACUUGGCUGGAUCGCAACAAACAAGCCACCCUGCCCGUCUGCAUGCCCGUCGACUGCGGCUCGCCGCCCACCGUCGACAACGGCGGAGUCUAUGCGGAAGAGCAGACUUUCGGAAGCAAAGCCCCGGUGACGUGUUAUUCCGGCUUCAAACUGAUGGGCGCCAGCAGCUGGAUCGAAUGCGGAGCCGAUAAUCGAUGGGGUGUCGCCCCUCAGUGUUUGCCCGUCGCCUGCGCCGAAGCCCCGCUCGUUCGCAACGGGACCCAAUCGGCCGCCGAACCGUUCGUCGCCGGAGAAAAACUGAGCUUCGCCUGCCAGGAUGGAUUCCGCAGCACGUCAUCCGACCUCCUAGUUUGCCUGGAAGAUGGCUCCUGGUCGGGCAACAUUCCCGAAUGCUUGCCGGAAGAGUGUCCUCCGCCGGAUGCGAUCGACAAUGGCGCCUGGCUCUACACGUCAGCUGUUGACGGUGAAAUGGUCAACGCCCAAACCGUUUUCUACACGGGUGCUGAAGUGGUUUACUCGUGUAACGAGGGCUUCCUGCUGGAGGGUGGAACACGACGAAGAUGUGCUGGAACAGUCGGCUGGAUGCCGCAAGGUCUACCUAAAUGCCGGACCCUGGCAUCGAUUUCCGGAAUCACGUGUCCAGCGUUGGACAACCCGGAUCACGGGACAAUUGUUGUCGAAGGUUUCGAAACGGGCCAACUGGCCACCUACGAAUGCGACACGGGCUUCCAGGCCGGCGCCACUUCGGGGCCGGCAACUCUGGUCUGCAAUUCGGACGGGACCUGGAGCGUUAACGACGCGGAAUCCAAUUCCAACGAGCCGUUCCGGUGCCAAGAAGUCGUUUGCAGCGAGCCGGAAACUCCCGCCAACGGGUCCGUCACUUUCACGUCCACCAAUUUCGGAUCGAAGGCGCUCUUCCGCUGCGAUCAAGGAUUCGUGCUGAGCGGAUCACAGCAGAGGACGUGCGGAAGCGAAGGCGAAUGGAUCGGCGGAGCCAAGCCCAAAUGCGUUCCUCGAACGUGUUCCAUGCCGGACAUUAUCGAGCACGGAUACAUCGGAUUCGAAGUGGGCGGAUCGGCCACCAGUCUGGGCACCGGAUCCGUCAUUCUUUACGACUGCGAGGAAGGAUACAAAUUAGUCGGAGCGCGGGAACGAUCCUGUUUGCCAUCCGGCGAUUGGACGGACGAAGAGCCGUCGUGCCAUCAGAUAUUUUGCGAGCGUCUGCCCAGCACCAUGGAGCACGGGACUGUCACGGGGGCCGAGGAGAACAUUUACGGUUCAGUCGUUCAAUUCGUUUGCCAUCCGGGAUACGAAUUAGACGGCCCGGAACGUUUGUCCUGCGAAGAUGACGAAAAUUGGAGCGGAAUAAUGCCCACCUGUCGCCCGGUGGAGUGUCCCAAUCCGGGCCUGGUUGCCAACAUAGUUGUUUCACUCAAACAAGCGGAUGUUCGAUUAGAUCCGGAAGUCUACCACUACGGCGACGUUUUAGUUUACACCUGCCGAAGAGGUUACGGAAUUGUCAAAUCCGACAACGAUUCCGGCGUUGUGGAGAGGCGCUGCUUGGCCGACGGCUCUUGGUCUUCCAAACCGCCCGUCUGUUCCAGAGUCUCCUGCCCGCCGGCCGUCAUUCCCCAGAAUGGGUACACAUCUCGUCCCGUUCAGAAUGAAGUGGCCAGCGUCAACGAAACGGAGGAAGCGGCCAUUGUUGGUCAAAUCAUCCACUACGGAUGCAAAAAAGGCUACCAGCUGAGCGACGACAGCCCCAAGGUGGCCAAAUGUCUGGAGACGGGCAAAUGGAAUGUCUCGCAAACGCCGACUUGUCAGCUGAUUCGGUGCCCUCAACCGCCCGUCGUCAAGAACGGCAAACUGGACGGAAACGGGAAAAAGGAAUACUCAUAUUUGGAUUCCGUCAAAUACGAAUGCGAUUUCGGAUUCCGCAUGACGGGCGAAGAUCAAGUGGCGUGCACUUUUUCGGGAGAUUGGGAAGAUCAGAUACCGACGUGCGUCCGAGCCAUUUGUCUGUCUGUCGACAUACUGGAAGACGGAAUCAUCACGCCCAUCUAUCCGCCGUCGGAAGGACAGAAAGCGGGCCGCCAACAGCGCCCAAUGGCAUUGAAAUUCUCCUGUCAAGACGGAUACGAUUUGGUGGGCAGCGCGUUGACCGAAUGCACGUCGACGGGCGAGUGGAAUCAUCCGUUUCCGGCUUGUGUUCCAUGGCCAUGCGAGUCUCCGCCGAUCCCGCCGAAUAGUCAAAUCCAAUCGACAGUCAUUCGACCGGAUAUCAUCACGGCGAUAGUCCGUUGCGAUCCCGGCUUUCGAUUACUCGGAUCGAAUUUAACUUGCGGUCCGGCCGGCAUUUGGAAAGGAAAAGCGGAAUGUGAAGCUCAGCUGUGUUCUCUUCCGAAACAACUGUCAACCGGGAAAGCAGUCAUCGGCGAUUUCAAAUUCACGCAACCGUUGAAGAGUUCGUACGGGUUUGGCGAGACGAUCCAGUUCAGUUGCCGGCUGGGCUAUGUGCUGGAAGACCCCCAAAUGUCGGCGCUAACCUGCGCCGAUGAUGGACAAUGGGACGAGCAGAAGAUUCCAGUUUGUAAACCCAUUCGCUGUCCAGAUGUCCAGGUGCCGAAACAUGGAACUGUCAGCGGAACGAGCUCAAUUUUGGACAGCCGGAUUACUUUCAGCUGCCAGGAAGGAUAUCAACUGAAUGGGGAGGAGCAAAUCACUUGCAGGCCGGACGGCACUUGGUCGCAUCCAGCAAUGCCCGUCUGUGUGACUCGUUCGUGUGGCGAUCCUCCGAAUAUCGACAAUGGAUUUGCCGUCGUCCGCGGCACAGGAGUCGGUGAUACGAUUUCCUACUCCUGUCAGACCGGACAUCGCCUUUCUGGAGUCGAAUCUAGAACAUGUUUGAGUAACGGUCGGUGGUCGGGAGAAGAUCCUGCCUGUGAUCCGGUGGUUUGUGCAGUACCGGAAGCCCCGGAACAUGGAUCCUGGACAGUAGGUGGUUUCGUUCCUGGCUCUACCAUUCGUUUCGAAUGCAAACCGGGUUUUACUCUGGUCGGUUCGGCCACUGUAACGUGUCUGACGGAUAAAUCGUGGAGCGAUCGCCCACCCAGUUGCCAGCUGAUUACUUGUCCACCUUUGAGAGAUCCGGAACACGGAACUGUCCAGUUGACCAAUUGGAUUUCGGACAAUCAAGAGCUCAAUAAUGACAUCAAUCAACAGCUGGCCGUGGGUUAUCAUUCUACGGCUCACUACAUGUGCAAUCGUGGAUAUCAACUAUUUGGCCCGGGUCAACGGACUUGCACGGACCAAGGAACAUGGAGCGAUCGAGGACCACAAUGUCAAAGAGUAUGGUGCCCUGAACCUCAAGCGCCAUUGCAAGGAUUUGUGAUGGGAACUGGCCGGCAGUAUGGCGACCGGGUUCGCUACGCUUGUAGCACCGGUUAUCGGUUAAUCGGGGCAGACGAUUCCACCUGCCAGGCGGAUGGAAUUUGGUCGACCGUGUCGCCUCAGUGUGAAGCCAGCUCUGACUUGCUUCGCGCCUCCUCCAGCCGUUCCCCACACGAUAGCUCCGGCAUCCGGAAAGCCAAUAACCACCGGAACGCAAAUGAUUCUUCGCUGCCAGGAAGGGUUCACACCGGUCGGUGACAUGACGCUUCAGUGUUUGCACAAUCAACAGUGGUCCACUGUCAAGGGCCAUUGCAAGAGAGUGCACUGCAGUCAUCCAGUUGCUAAAGGAACAGCUUCUGUGGUCGUCAUCAGUGGAGAGGCUGAUGCUGGAAGUGGACAGUACCAUUUCGGGGAUCGACUUCUUGUUAGCUGCAAACAUG
Molecule: unclassified non-coding RNA, 10437 nt
Filed under: Daphnia pulex (common water flea)
Lineage: Eukaryota; Metazoa; Arthropoda; Branchiopoda; Diplostraca; Daphniidae
Description: sushi, von Willebrand factor type A, EGF and pentraxin domain-containing protein 1-like, transcript variant X3
Source: RNAcentral